Molecule: long non-coding RNA, 775 nt
Organism: Corythoichthys intestinalis (scribbled pipefish)
Lineage: Eukaryota; Metazoa; Chordata; Actinopteri; Syngnathiformes; Syngnathidae
Exons: 3
Source: RefSeq, a predicted model, not a curated record
AAAUGAUAUCUACCGUAACAUUAUGUAGCUUAGCUGUACUUGUAGCAGCUUUUCGGCAGCAGUCAGUGGGUCGGUGAUGGCUGACUUGUGGUGUUCCUGUUGUGCUUGUUCUUUUAUUGCCCUGGGAAAAGGGCAGAAACAUCUGCACUUAAGAGAAAACAAACAUCAGCGCUGGAUCAGGGAGACCAUUGAAAUCCCCAAGGGGGGGUUAAAGACCAUCAACAGGGAUGAAUGGGCUUACAUGCUCUCUACUACCUGGACCAGCAUCCUGGGAGAGUGAAUGGUCAGCAGAUCCCAGCAUCAGUGACACUCUGAUGAAGGCGGAAGUAGUCGCCGAAACAUGUUAGGAACCUUUUGUUGACUUGAUAUGGUGACCUUGGAACGAGUCUGCCUCCUCGCCUGAGUCUGUUUCACCUUGCCGUUUGAUCACUGUCGACCUGAUUAAAUUGUCAACUUGUGCUUCGAAGCCUUUUUCAAGCUUUCAAAAUGGAGUCAGUACAAGGGUUAAGACUUAGGUGAACCGAGUUUGGCCUUUUGGACGGGUUGUCAGUGUCUCCCGGGCCCGGGUUGUUGCAUCUGUGCCAGCGUGGGUCCGGCGGUUCGGCUGGCGUGAUUCCGGCAAUCUGGCUAAAAUGUCAGAUUCCUUCACUUUUGUUUUUGUUUUUUGUUUUUUUUUGGUUUGUUUCCUUUUCACCCCUCCGGUGCAAUUGAUAAACCCUGUGCAACAAUACCGUAAUUGAGCACUAGAGGCAGCAACACGAGUACAAGGAAGAUU